UCUAAAUCUUAAAUACUGUCGAAUCUUUUAAAUUUAAUGAUUUAUCAUUUAAUUUCUUCUAUAAUAUUUAUACAUUUAUUAUCCUAGUGUAUCUAAUCCUAG
Vespa mandarinia (Asian giant hornet) is the source of this 102-nucleotide long non-coding RNA. Lineage: Eukaryota; Metazoa; Arthropoda; Insecta; Hymenoptera; Vespidae. The record is from RefSeq and is a predicted model, not a curated record.